GCCAUUGAAAGAUUAUAAUCACCAUUGCUUUCUUCCCAUUCAUAAAUACUCGGUAUUUAAAAGGAGAACAACCGAUAAAACAGCGGUCCAAUGCCAGGAAGAAAAUACUCACAAAAGAAAUAUACAGAGGAGCCGUGAAUAAACGAGAAACAAUGAAUCCAUCAGUACAUGUCCGCCAAUAGUACUUCACAAACUUGUAAAAACAUAAUAAAAGAU
Molecule: non-coding RNA, 216 nt
Organism: Paramuricea clavata
Lineage: Eukaryota; Metazoa; Cnidaria; Anthozoa; Malacalcyonacea; Plexauridae
Source: the annotation of a GenBank genome assembly